CAUUACAUGAGAGUUUGAUCCUGGCUCAGGACGAACGCUGGCGGCGUGCCUAAUACAUGCAAGUCGAACGGU
Molecule: ribosomal RNA, 72 nt
Filed under: Trichococcus flocculiformis
Lineage: Bacteria; Bacillati; Bacillota; Bacilli; Lactobacillales; Carnobacteriaceae
Description: 16S rRNA. Bacterial SSU
Rfam family: Bacterial small subunit ribosomal RNA
Source: RNAcentral